AAAUCUCUGCAGGCAAAUGUGAUGUCACUGAAGAAAUCACACACUUACCCGUAGAGAUUCUA
RNAcentral lists this microRNA precursor (62 nucleotides) under Macaca mulatta (Rhesus monkey). Its description in RNAcentral is "Mml-Mir-216-P2a_pre stem-loop". The record is from RNAcentral. RNAcentral also lists the same sequence under 2 other names. Lineage: Eukaryota; Metazoa; Chordata; Mammalia; Primates; Cercopithecidae.